GCGUAGUCGAUGGGAAACGGGUUAAUAUUCCCGUACUUGGUGUUACUGCGAAGGGGGGACGGAGAAGGCUAUGUUGGCCGGGCGACGGUUGUCCCGGUUUAAGCGUGUAGGUGUGUGUUCCAGGUAAAUCCGGUUCACUUUAACACUGAGGCGUGAUGACGAGGCACUACGGUGCUGAAGCAACAAAUGCCCUGCUUCCAGGAAAAGCCUCUAAGCAUCAGGUAACAUCAAAUCGUACCCCAAACCGACACAGGUGGUCAGGUAGAGAAUACCAAGGCGCUUGAGAGAACUCGGGUGAAGGAACUAGGCAAAAUGGUGCCGUAACUUCGGGAGAAGGCACGCUGACACGUAGGUGAAGUGAUUUACUCAUGGAGCUGAAGUCAGUCGAAGAUACCAGCUGGCUGCAACUGUUUAUUAAAAACACAGCACUGUGCAAACACGAAAGUGGACGUAUACGGUGUGACGCCUGCCCGGUGCCGGAAGGUUAAUUGAUGGGGUCAGCGCAAGCGAAGCUCCUGAUCGAAGCCCCGGUAAACGGCGGCCGUAACUAUAACGGUCCUAAGGUAGCGAAAUUCCUUGUCGGGUAAGUUCCGACCUGCACGAAUGGCGUAAUGAUGGCCAGGCUGUCUCCACCCGAGACUCAGUGAAAUUGAACUCGCUGUGAAGAUGCAGUGUACCCGCGGCAAGACGGAAAGACCCCGUGAACCUUUACUAUAGCUUGACACUGAACAUUGAGCCUUGAUGUGUAGGAUAGGUGGGAGGCUUUGAAGUGUGGACGCCAGUCUGCAUGGAGCCGGCCUUGAAAUACCACCCUUUAAUGUUUGAUGUUCUAACGUGGACCCGUGAUCCGGGUUGCGGACAGUGUCUGGUGGGUAGUUUGACUGGGGCGGUCUCCUCCUAAAGAGUAACGGAGGAGCACGAAGGUUGGCUAAUCCUGGUCGGACAUCAGGAGGUUAGUGCAAUGGCAUAAGCCAGCUUGACUGCGAGCGUGACGGCGCGAGCAGGUGCGAAAGCAGGUCAUAGUGAUCCGGUGGUUCUGAAUGGAAGGGCCAUCGCUCAACGGAUAAAAGGUACUCCGGGGAUAACAGGCUGAUACCGCCCAAGAGUUCAUAUCGACGGCGGUGUUUGGCACCUCGAUGUCGGCUCAUCACAUCCUGGGGCUGAAGUAGGUCCCAAGGGUAUGGCUGUUCGCCAUUUAAAGUGGUACGCGAGCUGGGUUUAGAACGUCGUGAGACAGUUCGGUCCCUAUCUGCCGUGGGCGCUGGAGAACUGAGGGGGGCUGCUCCUAGUACGAGAGGACCGGAGUGGACGCAUCACUGGUGUUCGGGUUGUCAUGCCAAUGGCACUGCCCGGUAGCUAAAUGCGGAAGAGAUAAGUGCUGAAAGCAUCUAAGCACGAAACUUGCCCCGAGAUGAGUUCUCCCUGAGACUUAGAGUCUCCUGAAGGAACGUUGAAGACGACGACGUUGAUAGGCCGGGUGUGUAAGCGCAGCGAUGCGUUGAGCUAACCGGUACUAAUGAACCGUGAGGCUUAACCUUACA
This 1541-nucleotide ribosomal RNA is filed under the name Salmonella enterica. Its description in RNAcentral is "bacterial LSU rRNA". It matches the Rfam family "Bacterial large subunit ribosomal RNA", at positions 1409 to 2925 of the family's 2925-position model. RNAcentral also lists the same sequence under 1 other name. Lineage: Bacteria; Pseudomonadati; Pseudomonadota; Gammaproteobacteria; Enterobacterales; Enterobacteriaceae. The record is from RNAcentral.